UUUUUUUUUUUUUUGGGUCGUCAAACAUGGCGUGGGCACGCCAAGAUUAGAGAACAUCCACUGACUUCGAGAGUCACCUUACGCACUUUAACGCGUGCCCUCUUCGCGUGGGUACGCCAAGAUUCUAUUUUCUGCCGGCGUCGCGAGAUGUUGAGAAUUUACCAACACGAUGCGGGCACGCCAUGUUUUACAAACGUCCUCUGCCCAUGGGACUUGGACUUAGACGCUUAACGCGUGCCCUCCUCGCGUGGGCACGCCAAGAUUACCUAUCCUGAUCAGAGUUAGAAAACAUCAAGACUGACUAGUACCCACGUGAGAAACGACAUUAUUAAAUAAUUAAGCACUAAAACAACAAAAUUAACAAUUGGGUUGCCUCCCAAAAGCGCCUUUCUUUAACGUCUUUGACUAGACGUAGCCCAAAAAUUUACUUAAACUAAGCAAAUAGGGUCUUCCAAGUGCAUCAUCUACACCCGUUCAAUUGGAACCCCUUCAUAAUACGGCUUGAGACGAUGACCAUUCACUACAAAUUUCUUCUCAGUCUUCAAACUUUGGAUCUCUACUGCACCAUAAUGAAAGACAUUAGUCACAACAAAAGAACCAAUCCAACGAGAACGUAAUUUACCUGGAAAUAACUUCAAUUUGGAGUGGUACAGUAGAACUUUUUGCCCACACUCGAAUGUCUUCCUUGAGAUCUGUUGGUCAUGAAAAAUCUUAUUCCUCUCCUUAUAAAUUAUCGCAUUCUCAUAAGCUUCAUUGCGAAUCUCCUCCAACUCCUGUAAUUGUAACUUCCUUUGAAUUCCGCCCUCCUCAAUAUCCAUAUUGCAUCGCUUAACCGCCCAAAAUGCUUUAUGCUCGAACUCCACUGGAAGAUGGCAAGGCUUACCAAAUACCAACCUAUAGGGAGACAUCCCUAUAGGUGUCUUGUAAGCGGUCAUGUAUGCCCACAAGGCAUCUUCCAACCUUGAAUUCCAGUCCUUCCUAUCAGGGCGGACCAUCUUUUCCAAAAUAGACUUUAUUUCUCUAUUCGAGACUUCAGCCUGACCAUUGGUCUGUGGAUGGUAGGAAGUGGAAACCUUAUGAAGUACACCAUACUUCCUGAACAAAGCAGCAAUUGUUUUGUUGCAAAAAUGCGUCCCCCUAUCACUCACAACUGCCCGUGGCAUUCCAAAUCGUACAAAAAUAUUAGACUUUAUGAAAUCUGCAACCACCUUAGAAUCAUUAGUGCGGGUGGCUUUUGCUUCCACCCACUUCGAGACAUAAUCCACUGCUAGUAAAAUGUAUAAAAAUCCACAAGAAUUUGGAAAGGGACCCGUGAAAUCUAUACCCUAAGUAUCAAAAAUUUCAAUGAAAAGCAUGGGCACUUGUGGCAGUUGAUCCUUUCGGGAUAAAUUUCCUACCCUCUGACAUUUAUCACAUGUCUUACAAAACAAGUAAGCAUCCUUAAAUAAGGUAGGCCAAUAAAAUCCACUUUCCAACACUUUUCUAGCAGUCCGUUUAGGUCCAAAAUGACCCCCACAUGCAAAAGAGUGACAGAAAGUCAAUAUAGAUUGGAAUUCACUUUCACUUACACAUCGCCUCAUUAUUUGGUCAGCACCUUGUUUCCAAAGAUAGGGAUCAUCCCAGACAUAGUACUUUGCAUCGCUUCUUAGUUUGUCCUUUUUCGUCUUGGGCCAACCUGCGGGCAAUUUGUCAGUAACCAAAUAAUUCACAAUAUCUGCAAACCAAGAAGGGGAUGAAUUAAUAGAAAGUAAAUGUUCUUCAGGAAAAGACUCCCUUAAUGGUAAUUCCUCCUCCGCUACCAAUAAUCGACUUAGGUGGUCAGCUACUAGAUUCUCUGCUCCUUUUUUAUCUCUGAUUUCCAAGUCAAAUUCCUGCAGGAGCAAUAUCCAUCUUGUCAAACGGGGUUUAGCGUCCUUCUUGGUCAGCAGAUACCUCAAAGCUGCAUGGUCAGAAUACAUAAUUACUUUAGCACCUAGCAAAUAAGGUCUAAACUUUUCUAAAGCAAAAACAACAGCUAAGAGUUCUUUCUCCGUAGUGGAGUAAUUGAGUUGGGCGCCAUUUAAAGCUCUAGAGGCGUAAUAUAUUGCGUGCGCCGCUUUCUCCAUCCUUUGUCCCAAAACUGCUCCUACGGAGUGGUCGCUGGCAUCACACAUAAUUUCGAAUGGGAGAUUCCAAUCAGGGGGUUGGAUGACAGGUGAAGAAGUGAGUAGUUUUUUCAACUUCUCGAACGCUUCUUUGCACUCCUCGUUGAAUUCAAAACUGACAUCCUUUUGCAAAAGCCUGAAAAGUGGUGCCCCGAUCUUUGAGAAAUCCUUGAUAAAUCUGCGACAGAAACCUGCAUGUCCUAGAAAAGAACGAACUUUCCGUACAGUUACGGGGUAAGGUAAAGCAGAUAUCACAUUUAUUUUAGCUUUAUCAACCUCAAUUCCUCUAGACAACACUACAUGUCCUAGAACUAUCCCGUGCUCAACCAUGAAGUGACAUUUUUCCCAAUUGAGUACUAGGUUAGUCUCAAUGCAUCUUUUUAAAAUCAAUGUCAGGUUAUCUAAGCAAUCGUCAAAACUAUCACCAUAGACACUGAAGUCAUCCAUGAAUACCUCAAUUAUUCUCUCCACAUACUCAGAAAAAAUGCUAAUCAUGCACCUCUGAAAUGUUGCAGGGGCAUUGCACAAUCCAAAUGGCAUCCUUCGAUAGGUAAAAGUGCCAAAGGGGCAAGUGAAAGUUGUUUUCUCUUGAUCCUCUGGUGCAAUUGCUAUCUGAAAAUAGCCAGAGAAACCAUCUAAAAACAAUAAUAUGCACGACAAGCUAACCUUUCAACCAUUUGAUCGAUGAAUGGAAGAGAAAAAUGAUCCUUCUUGGUCACCGCGUUUAAUUUGCGGUAAUCGAUGCACUGGCGCCAACCCGUAGGCUUUCGAAUUGGAACGAGGUCCCCUUCAUGAUUUUCUUCCACAGUUACCCCUGCUUUCUUUGGCACCACUUAGACUGGACUCACCCAUGGGCUAUCUGAGAUAGAAAAAAUAAUUCCUACGUCCAGAAGCUUGAUUACUUCUUUCUUGACCACUUCCAUCAUGAUGGGGUUCAAUCUCCUUUGUGGUUGUCUUAUCGGCCUAGCAUCCUCUUCCAGGCGAAUUCGAUGCAUGCACACGGACGGUCUUAUACCCUUUAUGUCCGCAAUUGUCCAACCUAUAGCUUCCUUAUGCUCCCUUAAAACCCGAAGUAGCUUAUCAUCCUCCCUGGGUGAUAAUUUGGAUGAGAUUAUCACUGGUAACGUCUCUUUUUUGCUUAGAUAGGCAUACUUUAAAUGUUCGGGCAGAGGUUUUAACUCCACUUCAGGUGCCUGCACGAUAGAAGGUAAUAGCUUUAGGUGUGGUUCAGGCACGAAUAUAGGAGCGACAUCAUACCUUAGAGAACUUUGGCCUAGUGAAUGCAAGGCUCCAACCAUUCUUUGCAAACUGACAUCUAACUCCAUUUCACAAGUUGCUUCCAGAUCCAAAUGUUUGGUGAUUGCUGUCUCCAAUUCAUCCCUGCCAUUAAUCUCAAAUACUUCUUGCACCAAAGGGUCAAUUACACUCACAGCGAAAAUAGCAUUAGAAUGACAAGGAUAUCUCAUGACCUCAAAUAUAUUAAAAUGAACUAUUUCUCCAUCAAAUUCCAUCGUCAGGGUGCCCUCACUAACAUCAAUUUUUGUACGAGCCGUGCUCAAGAAGGGCCUCCCCAACAAAAUUGGUAAUGGAUUUGGAGAACGUUCAUCACCCAUAUCAAGAAUAUAAAAAUCAGCAGGGAACACUAAAUUGUUCACUUGCACUAACACAUCUUCUAUCACCCCAUCGGGAUAAGCAUUAGUCCUAUCAGCCAAUUGAAUUAUAAUGCCAGUUUCCUUUAAGGGACCCAAAUUUAGCGAAGCAUAAAUAGUCUUGGGCAUCACAUUAUAGAGGCUCCUAGAUCUAACAUGGCAUUCCGAAUGCUAGUGUUCCCUAUUUUACAAGGGAUAGUGAACAUACCUGGGUCUCCACACUUGGGCGGAAGUUUUCUUUGAAGCACUGCGGAUACGUUCUCUCCCACAAUUAUCCUUUCAUCUCCCCUCAAUUUCUUCCUAUUGAUGCAUAGGUCCUUCAAAAAUUUGGCAUACCGGGGUACUUGCUUAAUUGCGUCAAGUAAGGGGAUAUUUAUCUCCACCUUUCUAAACAUCUCCAGAAUUUCCUUUUCCUUGUCUUGCUUUUUAGGCAUUUCCAACCUGCUAGGAAAAGGUGGUGGGUUAGGCUUAACUGGAACCACUGGGUUACGUAUUACCUCUUUAUUGGUGCCGGACGUUCCUUCUUCCUCAAGCUCCUUCUCAAUGCGGUCCUCAUUCUUGUCCUUCGGAGCCACCGGUGCUGGUCCUUCAACCUCUUUCCCACUCCUGAGGGUCAUUGCACUUACAUUCUUGGGAUUCACCUCAGGUUGGGAUGGAAGUUUUCCCUUUCCCUAGGAGUCCAGUCGGUUGACAAUUGAGGCCAAUUGACUCAUCUGAUUUUCCAAGUUUUGCAUACGUGCCUCCAUCUCUUGACUGCUGGCUUCAGUGUCCUGCUGAAAUUUCAUAGUGUUAGAGGCUAUGGUUUUAACCAUGUCUUCUAAGGACAUACCUGGGUUAGAGGAAGGUUGAUUCUUUGUUUAAUAUUGUUGCUGGAAGCCCUGUUGUCUAUUGGGGGUGAAAUUUUGUUGCUUAUUUCCCCCAUAACUCAGAUUUGGAUGAUCCCUCCAACCCGGAUUGUAUGAGUUGGAAUAGGGGUCAUACUGUCUACGUGGCAUGGGCAUGUUACCAGCCAUGUUUGCUUGCUCAAUUCCCUCCUCUUGUAACUGUGGGCACGAGUCAGUGGUAUGACCAAUGUUCGUACAAAUCCCACACACUUUGGCCUGCUGUACAUUUCCUACAGCUAUCUGUCGAACAAAUGAGGUUAAUUCAGAUAACUGCUAUUGAAUGGAAGAUGAGCUUACCUCGUUGACCUUCCUCGUAGGAACAUCCUCUCUUGUACCAAACUGCUGGCAGUUCUCUGCCAUUCGCUCGAUUAGUUCCCAAGCCUCUUGGGUAGUCUUAUUCACCAGUGCGCCUCCACUUGCUGCAUCAAUGAUAUUUCUAUCGUUCAUCAGUAGCCCCUCGUAGAAGUACUGAAUCAGCAGUUGAUCACUUAUUUGGUGUUGAGGGCAUCGGGUGCGCAGCCUGGUGAACCUCUCCCAAUAUUCAUACAAGGAUUCCCCGUGAAAUUGUUUGAUGCCACAUAUUUCCUUUCGCAAACUAGCAGCUCUGGACGCAGGGAAAUAUUUUUCAAAAAUUUUUUUCUGCAUCUCUGGCCACGUGGUGAUAAUGCCUGCAGGUAGACAGUAUAACCAGUCUUUUGCCAAAUCCUUGAGAGAAAAAGAAAAGGCCCUUAACUUAAUUUGUUCAUCAGUUACUCCCAAAGGCUUCAUACUCGAACACACCACAUCAAAUUCCUGCAUGUGUUUGUGGGGUUCCUCACCUGACAGACCAUGAAAAGUAGGCAACAAAUGUAUUAGACCAGGUUUUAAUUCAAAAGCUACAUUUUCACUAAGGCGAGGGAAAGUUAUGCAGAGAGGUUGUUGGGUCAAGUUUGGAGCGGCCAACUCCCGUAUUGUUCGUGCAUUUGCCAUGGUGACUUCCUCCUAGUCCGAAUCACUCGAGUGAUCACUAUGCAGAUUUAACGAUUCCACCUCCGGAUCCAGUCCUUGAGAUGUACCACUGGGCUGCUCCUCUCUGAGCUGUCUAGUCUCUUUCCUAGUUCGGCUUGCAGUCUUCUCUACUUCAGGGUCAAAAAUUAAAUCGCCUGUACGAGAAGAACGAGGCAUAAACUAGAGAAAUAUCAGAAAGAAAGAAAGAAAGCAAAAACAGAUUAGAUUUAAAAAGGAACAAAUAAUUAACGUCAGUCCCCGGCAACGGCGCCAAAAAUUGACAGGUGCCGAACCUGUGCAAUAAUAAAUACUUGCUCAAGCAAAAUACAACUUCUGUAGACAGUGAUAAGUAGGGUCGAAUCCACAGGGACUAGUGAUAUUUGUUUCUUUUAAAAUUCCAAUUGGAAUAAGGGGGAUUUUAUCGGAGUUAAACUAAAAAUAAUUAAAUAAUUCACUGGAACAAAUGAUUAACUAGCAUGAAUACGAAAAGGAAUUAAAUCAAGAAUAUAUAAAAAUUCUAGCCAAGGAUACAACUACUCAGGCACAGUCCAAUUAUCCGAUCAUUGAUGCAAAAGAGGUUCACUUAAUGUAUUAAUAGGCUAGUUAUAGCCGUUGACGAAGUCUGACAACCAAUUUUUCCUUAAUUUAUUGAUAACCAAGGUACGACCGUUGAUUACCCCUAAUCAGAAAAUACUCCUAGGUACAACCAUAGGAAUUAAUUUUCCAAUUGCAUUAACAACUAGAAAAACCUAGCCCUAAUCAAUAACACGCUACGAGGGUUAUUUAAAUUAGAUUGCACGCUCCCAUGAUGUGUAAACACACCAGUUGCCACUAAUAUUAAUCAAUCAAACAAUUACGGAUUUAAUUGACUAAAUUGACACGAGAUUAAUAAAUCACAUUGAACAUCGGCCCUUGACAUCCAAUUAAUAAAUAAAUCCCAUGAGAAUUCAAGCAGAUAGCAUGCAAAUAUUAAUAAAUUGAGGAACGCGUGGAGACUAAUUAGAUCUCACAGAAUUUCGGGACUGCGCCGUCGAGUUGACCCUUGACUAGAUUGAAGGUUUAGCCACGCCGCAUAAUUAAAUCACCACACGAAUUAAAUGAUUGCAACGGCAUUGCCUUUUUACUAGAAAGCAAGGAAUAAAAGAUGUUUUCCCGUUGGAGAAUAUUGUCAAACACCUGGCGUGUGUCAGAGGCCAGUCAGAGAGAAAAAGAAAGAAAACUAAAAACUGAACUAAAAGCUAAAAACUCUCCGCUUGCUUCUGUCCGUUCCUUACUUAUAGAGAAACAAAAAGGAAGUUGACUAAAAACUAUCUAGUCUCUGGUCCCACCGUAAUUGGGAAGCAAGCAAAAGAUUACAAGGAAAAAGCUUCUCCUCGUGUGUUUCUCUCAAAAGCCCAAUUGAAGAAAAGCCUUUGCUUCUUCGUGGUCCCCGCUGAUGUCCCUCUUAAAAGCCAAAGGAGAUUACUAAUGCUCUCUCCCGUAGGACUUGAGCCAAUGAAGUACACAAGGUGGGCCCUUAGCCCAAUUGUCUUUUGUUUCCUUUCUUUUUGGUAGUUUUCUGCUCCAUUCCUGGAAUUAGACCCAAGUACCAAAUAUAAGUAGAUAUCGGCAAUUAACACAAUAUUUUAUAGGUAUAACAGGGGAAAUGAGUAAUAAAAUUACUAUCAAAUAAUGCCCUAUCAGCAAGCAGGCCCAUAGUCGUUAAGAUUUAAGACAUUGCACAAUACAUCUUUUUUGACAUGGUAAGAAAAACUUUAAACUGGCUUAAUGAACUAUCAAUGAUUGAUUGGAUGAAGAUAACUCCUGCUUUGAUUAUGACUUUUUGUUAAUGAAGCUGAGGUGAAAAUUAAUUAGUCAAAUGAAUGAUACAUAAUGCAAAACAUUAGGAAUUUAACUUCCAAUUGUGCCUUCCCAUAAUGCAAAAGAUCACAAUAGAUAGAUUAGAUAUUCAUAAACCUAUUUCGUCUCUGGUCUCCUUUAUAAGCUCAUUUUCAUGGAUCGUAUAAUUUCUUCAUUACUGAGCUAUCACUUUUUAAUCCCAGCUUUCACUGUUUGAAAAGCAUUGGUAUCAAUACUUGGGUCGUGGUCGAUAUGCGUAAACUGUAAGCUGGUGGAAGCUUACUGACCAUUUCGGUUGGCAUAUUAAAUCAAGGUUGAAAAAUAAAAAUUUCUAAAUUAUUAUUUAAUAGGUUUUUCAAGUUAAGGUCUUAGUAACUCUAUUUAAGUCAAGUUAUCGUAGUUUUAUUAUCAAGGAAUUAGUAUUUUAUUAGAAGAUUUAUUAUGAUUGUAAGACUUAUUUACUAAAUCAUCUAGUCUACAAAUAGGGAGUCUUAUUGUUAUUAUUAGUUAUGGAGGAAAAUUUGAUAGUCUUGUUAUUAUGAUGCGUAUUUAAUAUAUUGUUGUAGGUAUUAUUUUUUUUCUCCCACAGAUACUCUUUUGUGUGUAAAUUACCUCUCUAUGUACAUUAUUUCUAUGAAAUUUAUCUCCUAUCUUUAUUGGGUUGUACAAUUUAUGUAUUAAGUUCUGACAACGAAGUUUAGCUCAUUUCCGGAUUUCCCUCGAAAAUAUACCAAGAAAAUCAGGCCCCAUUAGUUCCAAUUGUUUGAGCUAUAUAAGCAAAACAACAAGAAUCUGUCACAGCUCAAACAUGUUCCCAAUCCAAAGAAACUUUUAUCAUUCAAUCAUCAGUUUGUUGCCAAUUAAUCCACCUUUGCCUUCACAGUUCAUUGAAAGCCCGAAUACCAUGUGGGGAUGGAUUUCGUUCAUCAACAUCAGUAAAAAAUUUUCUCCUACUCUUAGUUGCCAUGAGCUUUUCAGUAAACCAUGCUUCAGCUGCAAAACUGUUUCGAAAUGAGACUGAUCGACUUGAUCUGCUUGAAUUCAAGAAUCAGAUAUACGUUGACCCGCUUGGAGUGCUGAACUCUUGGAACCGUGGAAUGCAGAAAUUGUGAGAGUAGUUGACUUAAAAUUAUAGACUUAAAAAGUCCGUCAAUAGCAACUGUUUGGUCCUUCCUGGAAAGUAGUUGAGUGAAGUGGACAAGUCAUUUAGCAGACAGAUUGUCAUAGACAUGAAAGAAUAAUAAAUUGUGGCCCACGAAUAUAGAAAUUGUGAGGGUCUGAAAAUUGAAUAAUCUCCCGAUGCUCAAAAUUUGUCGAUAGAAAAAUUUCUUUGUUGCCUCUCCCAAACACAUUGAGAUUCUCAGCUGAAGUAGAAAGGGAGGCGAAAGACCAAAACAAAGCAAAACGGACAAUGUCAUCCCAAAGUAUUUGUCAGAGUGUAAUUUACUUCAACAAAAUCCAGUGCCUCCUUCAAGUCAUGCUCAGGGCAUGCAAGGAACAACAAAAACUAAGAGUUCAUGGCUACUGAGUGCCAGAUUGACAAACAAAGCCUCGUACGGGAAGCUUUCUACUGUUUCCUAAGAAGAACAGAACAUCACGUCCAGUUCUUUGACAGGCUUGAAAUCUAUGCCCUAAGGAAUGAGAUAGAAUACACAUUCUCAUCGUUCAUUUCUGUCUCAAGAAAAUGGCAAACUUCAGAAGGAGAAAUUCACAAAGAAAUUCAUCCACCAAAACCCAUUACUUUCUCAUACAAAUCCCUUUUGGUGGAAGUCGAUGUGGUAAUCCACUUGUAUAUGGUCAUGUCUUUACUCAUAAUUUUGCUUUUUCAAGAAAUUAAUUUGUUUUACCUAAAAAAUCAAAAACUAAUAGCGGGGUCAAUGACAGGUGUCGAGCCUGUGCAAUAAUAAAUACCUACUUGAGAAAAAUAAAUUUUCUUUGUAUAGUAGUGAGUAGGGUCGAAUCCACAGGGACUGGGAAAAAUUCGAUUCUUUUCAAGUUCGGGACACGGGGGAUUUUUUUCAGAAAUAAACUAAAAAUAAUUAAACAAUUUAACCAAAAAUAAUUAAUUAAUUAAUACGAAUGUAAAUAGCAAUUAAAUAAAUAAUAAAUAAAUUCUAGCCAAGGAUACAACUACGCAGACACAGUCCAUUCAUCCGAUCAUUGAUGCAAAGAAGGUUCACUUAAUUUUAUUAACAGGUUAGUUAUAGUCGCCGAUAAACUCUAACGACCAGCUUUUCCUUAAUUUAUUGAUAACCAAGGUACGACCGUUGAUUACCCCUAACCAGGAAAUACUCCUAAGUACGACCGUAGGAAUUAAUUUCCUAAUUGCAUUAAAAACUAGAAAAGCCUAACCCAAAUUAAUAACACGCUACGAGGGUUAUUUAAAUCAAAUUGCAUGUUCCCCUAGUAUGUGAAAAUACUAGUUGCCACUAAUAUUAACCAAUUAAAUUACGGAUUUAAAUGAUUAAUUUGACAGGAGAUUAGAGAGUCAAAUUGCACAUCGGGCCCUUGAUAUCCAAUUAACAAAAUAAUCCCAUGAAAAUUGAAAUAGAAAACAUGCAAAUAUUAACAAAUUAAGGAACACGUAAAAAUUAAUUAGAUCUCACAGAUAUUUGGGACUGCGUCUUUGCGUUGAUCCUUGACUAGAGGAGAAAAUUAGCCACUCCUCAUAAGAAAAUUCCCACGCAAUUUAAUUGGAAUCAAAUACAUAAAUAACUAACUAAGAAUUUAGAAAGAAACUUGAGUCUCCGUAGACUCUUUGAAGAAAAGUUGCACACCACACAACAAGAGAAGGAAGAACUCCUUCUCUGAAAACCAAAAACUACCUCUAUCCUCCUACGGAGCUUAUUUGGAGAGAAAACUAAAACUAGUCUAAUGUCUUAUGAAGCUCUCGUCUAAUUCUCCUCUGCACUAGUUUCAUAAGAGUAACUCUGCACUAGUUUCAUAAGAGAACUAGUUACGUAGGAAGCAAAUAGAAAAGCUACUUUCAUCAUCAAAGUCCACCUAUGGCUAAUGAGUACAUCUCCCGAAAGAGGAACACAUUUUCUAAAUCAAUGUUACGUGGUCCCCGCAGAAUUCUCACCUUUUUGAUUUCUUAUUGCUAGUGGACUUGCCAGGACUUAAUAAUAGGAAGGCAACUCUUCAUCAGCAAUUCCGUUGGUUUGCACAAUUUGGGCUGAUUGUGGAAAGCUUUUAGAAGCUUUCACGUGUGGAGAAAUCUUCUCAAGAAGGUCCCCUUUUAGCACUUUUCUGCUCCACUUUCUGAAAUUAUAUCCAAAUACCAAAUAUAAAUAUAUAUUGAUAAUUAAAGCAAUAUUUGGCAAGGAUAAAGAGGAGAAUUAACAAUAAAAUUACUAACAAUUAACACCCUAUCAAUUCCCCCCACACUUAAAUCAUGCUUGUCCUCAAGCAUGGGAACACUAAACUCAACAAUGGCUAACUCUCAUUUCAUUUACUGCCAAGCUACGCUUAUCCCAAAAUCAAGUUUUAGUGGCUAAAUGUCAAGAUAUAUUUCUCCCGGUUAGCUCCUGAAAUCAUAGACUCGUCCAAUUCAUUGCUAAGUCGUCUAAGAAAUCAAAAUAUUAAACUAGCAAAAGUUAGCAAUUGGGUCAACUGAAAAUCAAAAUCUCAACAUUGAAGAACAAGGAUCGGCAGGCCAACAUGAUCAUAAGCUUACUUAUUAUUUUCUUUUCUCUUUUUUCUUUUUUUUUCUUUUUUUUUGAUAAUAAUUUUUUAUAUAUAUAUUUUUUUUUUCAAUAAAUGCUCAGUCCCAAGCUAUUCAAGUCUUUUGACGUGAACACUGACAUUUUUAGAUGAAAGAGCCCAGUUACUCAACUCUUUACAGCUUCAGGACUAACUACUCAUAGAUAUAGCCACUUUUUGACGCGAAAGUCGACACUUGUGGUGAAGACUCCCGGUUACUGGGUGACGACACUAGCGGAGUAGGGUCAUUUAUUAAUCACAAUUAAAGCACCAAAAUACCAGGCAGUUAAAUAUCAUGGCCCACGUCAUCUCCUAACAUGGAGAACUGAAAUCAACAAUCGCCCAAUCCACACAACAAUUACUAGUAAAAUAUUUAUAUUUCCUAAACAAGUUAACCACAAUUUGCACCAAGUCAUUAAACUCAAGAUAUUCACCAAGGCAAUAUGCUUUUACUUGCCAUCUAAACAAAAUUCAUGGGAUAAAUCACAACCAGCAAUAGAAGAGUGAGUUGCCAUAUUUAUUCAUCAAGACAAGAAUAAGAAAAACAACAAUUUAAAGAAACUCCAAUCAAAUCCAAAUCUCCCCCCACACUUAAAGCACACAUUGCCCUCAAUGUGACAAUUAAACAGUAAAAGUAAGAAGAAGGGCAACGAAACUCCCCUGAAGUUGUCAAAACAGCGGCAGGUUAAGCGGAAGUUGAGGUUCAACACCCACGUGGUGCAUAAACGCCGCCAAAUUCUGCGCCAUGCUAUGCACAUUCGCAUCAAUAUUGGUUACCUAAGCCUCUAGUUUCUGAACUCGCAUCUGGAGUUGGUGCCAGUCAUCAGUCCUUGGGGUUGGAGGAGGUGGAGCGGACGUCGAAGGGCCGGGGUCACCAUUUUUUCAAAUAUCACUCCACCUUUCAAAAAUGGACAGGUGGUAAUGCACGUCAAAGAGGAAAGGGCGACGGCGGAGAUGCACGCGAGCUGGUGGCGGAAGAGCUGGGGUGGAUUGGUGGUGCACAGAGGUGAACAGCCGCGUGGUGAGAGAGGGGAAAGGUCACGCUGUCCGUGGCUAACAGCGAUGGUUACUCGCUUGGUGCGAUGGAGGAGCUUGGACGCGAGGGAAGAGUGGUUAAGUGGGUGACGGUCUUCGCUGGUGGAGGUGCGCGAGCUAACUCGAGCUGGCUUGCAAGUGGAGCAAGCGGCGUCGCAGGUGGGCAGGAGAAGAGAGAGGUUGUGGCUGAACGGAGGAGCUCGCAGGGGAGGAAGAGCUGCUGGCGGUGCGCGGUGCUGCGCUGGGCAGAGCUGGCGGCGAGCAGAGUGGAAGAGAGGGACGGUGGCGGCAGUUUGUGAGUUGCUAACGGGUGGAUGUGCACGAGCUCUGUGGAGAGCUCGCGAUGUGGCGUGCUUGUCGUGGCUGGACGAGCGGAAGAGCUGCGAUGAAGGUGCAGCGGCUGGCGGAGCUUGCGAGGAAGAAGAAGAAGCAGGCAACGGGGAAGAAGAAGAAAGAAAGAAAGGAAAGAAAGAAAAGAAAAAGAAGGAAAGAAAAAGAAAAGAAAGAAAAGAGAAAAAGAAAGGGAAAAAAAAAUAUUUUUUUUUAUUGCAAAAAUUUGAAUUUUUGAAAACAAAACUGAAGGCUAAAAGAAAAAUAUUUUUAUUUUUUAUUUUUCUAAUUUUUAAAAUUUUUUUUUAGAAAAAAAUAAAUAAAUAAAUAAUUUUUUUUUUAAAAAAUUUCUUUGUUCUGGUUCGUCAAACAUGGCGUGGGCACGCCAAGAUUAAAAAACAUCUACUGAUCUUGGGAAUCAGUUUUUGAACAUUAAUGCGUGCCCUCUCUGCACGGGUACGCCAAGAUUCCACUUCGGAAUGUUGAGAUUUUACUAACAUGGCGUGGGCACGCCAUGUUUUAGAAACAUCCUCUGACCUUGAAGUUGAAACUUGUAAGAUUAAUGCGUGCCCUCCUUGCGUGGGCACGCCAUGAUCACCUGUCCUGGUCAUAGUAGAGAAAAUAUCAAAUUUAAGUAAUACCCACGUGAGAAACGACAUAUUUAACGAAUUGAACAACAAAAACAAACAAAAUAAAAAAUUGGGUUGCCUCCCAAAAGCGCCUUUCUUUAAUGUCUUUGGCUAGACAGAGUCCAGAAUUUGCUUAAACUAAGCAAAUCGGGUCUUCCAGUUGCAUCAUCUCCACCCGUUCAAUUGGAAAUCCUUCAUAAUACGGCUUGAGACGGUGACCAUUCACCACAAAUUUUUUCUCCGUUUUCAAACUCUGGAUUUUCACUGCACCAUAAUGAAAGACAUUAGUCACAACAAAAGGACCAAUCCAUCGAGAACGUAAUUUACCUGGAAAUAGCUUCAAUUUGGAGUGGUAUAGUAGAACUUUUUGUCCAUAGACGAAUGUCUUCCUUGAUAUCUGUUGGUCAUGAAAUACCUUGUUCUUCUCCUUAUAAAUCACCGCGUUCUCGUAUGCUUCAUUUCGAAUCUCCUCCAAUUCUUGUAAUUGUAACUUUCUUUGAAUUCCACCUUCCUUAAUAUCCAUGUUACAUUGCUUGACCGCCCAAAAUGCUCUAUGCUCAAACUCGACCGGGAGAUGACAUGGCUUUCCAAAUACCAAUCGGUAAGGGGACAUGCCAAUAGGUGUCUUGUAUGCCGUCCUAUAUGCCCAUAGUGCAUCCUCUAGUCUCAUACUCCAAUCCUUCCUAUCGGGUCGGACCAUUUUCUCUAGAAUCGACUUGAUCUCUCGGUUCGAUGCUUCCGCUUGACCAUUUGUCUGAGGAUGAUAGGAUGUAGAGACUUUGUGCAAGACACCGUAUCUCCUAAAAACUGCGGCAAUUGUCUUGUUACAGAAAUGAGUACCCCGAUCACUUACAAUUGCUCGCGGCAUCCCAAAGCGUACAAAAAAUGUUAGCCUUGAUAAAUUCUGCAACCACUUUGAAAUCAUUAGUGCAGGUGGUCUUUGCUUCCACCCACUUCGAAACAUAAUCUACAGCAAGCAAUAUAUACAAAAAAUCAAAGGACGAUAAAAAAGGACCCAUAAAGUCAAUACCCCAAACGUCAAAAAUUUCAACAAAAAUCAUUGGGGUUUGAGUCAUUUGAUCCCUACGAGAGAUAUUACCCACUCUUUGACACUUAUCACAUGACUUACAAAAUGAGUAGGCAUCCUUGAAUAGAGUUGGCCAAUAGAAUCCACUCUCUAGCACCUUACGAGCCGUUCUCUUCGGUCCAAAGUGACCUCCACAUGCAAAAGAGUGACAAUAGGCUAGAAUAGAUUGAAAUUCAGCUUCACUUACACAUCUACGGAUGAUUUGAUCGGCACCCCACUUCCAGAGAUAAGGAUCAUCCCAAAUGUAAGAUUUUGCAUCGCUUCUCAACUUGUCUUUCUUUGCCUUAGGCCAUCCUGUAGGAAAUUUGUUAGUGACUAGAAAAUUAACAAUAUCUACAUACCAAGGCAAAGAUGAAUUAAUAGAAAAUAAAUGCUCCUCGGGGAAUGCUUCUCUCAAUGGGAUGUCAUCUUCGACGACUUGUACUCGACUCAAGUGAUCUGCUACCAGAUUCUUCGCUCAUUUCUUAUCUCGGAUCUCCAGGUUGAACUCUUGUAGCAACAAUAUCCACCGUAUCAAUCGCAGUUUUGCCUCUUUCUUGGUCAACAGAUACCGCAAAGUUGCAUGAUCAGAAAAAAUAAUAACUUUAGCACCAAGUAAAUAAGAUCGAAAUUUCUCUAAGGCAAAAACAACUGCUAAAAGCUCCUUUUCGGUGGUUGAAUAGUUCAAUUGAGCUCCGUUCAAGGCUCGAGAUGCGUAGUAGAUAGCAUGGGAUGCCUUUCCCACUCUUUGACCCAAUACCGCACCCACUGUGUAAGGCCCGAAAACAACCCUUUUCUAGGCGACCACACAAUGGAGCAGUUGAUAAGAAAGCACAAGUGCUUGUGAGUAGAAGAGAUAAACAAUUUAAAGAUCAUAAAUGUAACAAUAAGUAAAAGGAAAGAAUUGCAAACCAAUUAACUACCCAGUUCCUCUUGUGCUUCAAACAAGCUACUUCAAGUUGAUGAAUUACAAUCACUCUUGUGUACAAAGGAAGGUUCACCUCCUCCUUGCCCCGAACUCCCUCGGUCAAGCCAGGAAGUUUUACUAUCCCUCAGGACAACCCUCACAGAGCUACACUCAUGAAUUAUUCACUAACAAAUGAAAAGCUUACAAUGAACCUCACACCACUAAGACUACAAAUCUUCUUUGAAGAGUAUUUUCUCACUAAAAUCUCUCUAGAUCUUUUGUAUCUUCAGUGUGCCAAAGUUAUUUGAAGUGUCUGACCAACCACUAUUUAUAUAGGACCAAGAAAGUGCCUCAUUAAUGCUUCCAACGGAUAGAAAGUAGCUGAAUAGUCAACUAGCCGUUGGUAGUGUCGGACGUCCGAUAGCCCUGUUUUAUGCGUCCGACAGCAGGCAGUGAGUUUCAGAGAUUUUCUUCAAUUCUUUCGGACGUCCGGUGCAAGCUCUUUGUGCGUCCGACAGCAAACAAACAGAUUUGAGAAAUUAUCUUGUUUCUAUCGGACGUCCGGUAGAGACAUAUUCAGCGUCCGAUAGUUUCGUCGACUUCGAAGGAUUCUAUCGGACGUCCGAAGCAUGCGUCCGAAGUUGUGCAAUGAUUAUCGGACGUCCGAUCCUGACUUCUUGAGCGUCCGACAGUUUCAGCAUACUUUGUCAUCUUUCAAUUGUACUUGAUCUUUGGAACUAAUUUGCUUCAUAACUGAAUAGAUCUUUUAAGAGACAUUAGUAACAUCCAUUUGUUUUGUAAACAUCAAAAGAUAGGGAUCAAGAUCAACAAUCUCCCCCUUUUUGAUGAUGACAAAACAAUGGAUGGAAAGAAACAAAAAUAAGUAUAAGCUCCCCCUCAAUCAUUGCAACCAAAACUUUUAAGAGCCAAACUCAUAAUCUCAGAAUAACUCCCCCUUACACAUUGCAUCCAUUUCUCCCCCUUUUUGUCAUCAUAAGAGUAAAAAUCAACUACUAUAAUCCAGCAACAAUAACAGAGAAUUCAAUAUUCCAAGAAAAAAUAGAGAAAUGACAGCAAUCACAGCAAAUCAUCAUGAGAUCAGCAUUAUUCUUUUAUCUCUCUUUUUGACAUCAUAUAGAUUCAGUAGUAUUCAAAGAUAUCAGCGAAAACUCAGAUCAAAGUAUCAAAAGAAAAAAUAUUAUGAACAAGAAUCACUGCAAUGAUUAGAUAAAACCUCCUACUUGUUAAAAUUAGCAUCAUGUCUAACUAUCCACAUGCAUUUCAUGCCUCUUCUCAUAUUCUUUCUCACAUAACAAUCACUAUUCAUGUGACCUUUUUGACAACAAAAAUUACACAUAACCAAAGAGUUAUUUACAUGAACAGGUUUAAUAAAUCUUACUUGUCUUCUCCUAUGGAUAGCAAAUUCAUUUGAAUUAGAAUUCAACCUAUUCUUUUGAAAACAGACUUGUUUCUUGUGUUUAAGCAACUCAUUUAGACCAUCCAUUCUUCUUUUCAAAUCACCUUGUUCCUUUUUGAACUAAUCACAAAGUUAUGCUUUUCUAUCAAGCUCAAAAUGUAAAGCAGUCUCACUCUUUUUGAAGUAAUCAUUUUCAGCAAUGAACUUUUUGUUUUGUUGAAAAAGAUUUGCAUUAUCUCGAAACAAAAAACUAAUUUUCUGUUUUAACUCCUUAUUUCUAGCAUAAGAUUCUUUCAAACUAUCAUGCAAUUUUAUAAUGAAAUGUUCAAGAUCAUCUUCAGUUUCAUCAUCACAAUCAGAUUGAGAGUUAGAAGAUGUUACCUCAUCAUCUCCAAUGGCCAUGAAAGCCAAUUGAGCAGAUUGAUCUUCCUCUUCAAUUUCACCAUCGGAAUUGCAUUCAUUCCAUGUGAAUUGAAAUUUGUUUAUUCUUGGUUUUCUUCCUUCUUUCUUCUUCAUCACUGGACAGUCACUUGCAUAGUGUCCAGGUUGGCCGCAUUCAAAGCACUGAUCAGUUUGCUUUUUGUUGAACUCCAGCUUCCCUUUGUUUCUCGAGUUGUUGAACUGAUUUGGGAAUGAAUUGCUAGGUCCACCUUUUCUGAAUCUCCUCUUGUUGAGUAUUCGUUUGAAACUUUUUGUGAUGAGAACGAUAUCAUUGUCAUCACCUUCCACAUCUUCUUCAUCUAGGGAGGCAGAAUCAUCUUCAUCUUGUGAGGCUUUUAGAGCAAUAUUCUUUCGCACUUUUGCAUCCUCUUCCUCUUGCACCUUAGUCUUAAGUUUCAGCUCAUAAGACGUAAGAGAAUUAAUAAGAGAUUCAAUAGGCAUAGUAUUCAAAUCUCUAGUCUCCUCAAUAGCGGUCACUUUAUUUUCCCAAUCAUUGGACAAGGCAUUAAGGAUUUUUCUAUUUUUCUCACCAAGAGAAUAUUCUUUUUCCAGCACCUCUAAAUCUUUAAUGAGAUCAUUGAAUCUACAAUACAUUUGAUCAACAUUUUCAUGAGGUUCCAUCUUGAAAGAUUCAUACUUUGUAACUAGAAUGGACUUCUUUUGUUCUCUAACAUUCUCACUACCUUCAUGAAUUUCUUUCAGUUUGUCCCAAAUUUCUUUAGCUGACUUGCAACCCUUGACUCUAAUAGAUUCAUUUGAGUCUAAUGCACAAUAUAACACAUUCAUGGCUUUUGCAUUUAAGGUGAGAUGAGCUCUAUCCACAGCAGUCAGUUCACUUCUUGUUUUCGGUCUAGAUGCAUGAGUAUUUUCAUCUAUAAGAGAGGCAUCAUAUGGACCUUCACUAAUAAUAAACCACAAUUCGAUAUCAAUAGAUUGCGAAAAGAUAAUCAUUCUUUCUUUCCAACUCAUAUAAUUUGACCAAUUAAACAUAGGUGGUCUAAUAACAGAAUGUCCUUCAAAAAACAUAGCAUUAUUGGUUGUCAUUUUUACUCCCAAGCCGAUUGAGCUUAAUCUCAAGGAAACCUGGCUCUGAUACCAAUUGUAAGGCCCGAAAACAACCCUUUUCUAGGCGACCACACAAUGGAGCAGUUGAUAAGAAAGCACAAGUGCUUGUGAGUAGAAGAGAUAAACAAUUUAAAGAUCAUAAAUGUAACAAUAAGUAAAAGGAAAGAAUUGCAAACCAAUUAACUACCCAGUUCCUCUUGUGCUUCAAACAAGCUACUUCAAGUUGAUGAAUUACAAUCACUCUUGUGUACAAAGGAAGGUUCACCUCCUCCUUGCCCCGAACUCCCUCGGUCAAGCCAGGAAGUUUUACUAUCCCUCAGGACAACCCUCACAGAGCUACACUCAUGAAUUAUUCACUAACAAAUGAAAAGCUUACAAUGAACCUCACACCACUAAGACUACAAAUCUUCUUUGAAGAGUAUUUUCUCACUAAAAUCUCUCUAGAUCUUUUGUAUCUUCAGUGUGCCAAAGUUAUUUGAAGUGUCUGACCAACCACUAUUUAUAUAGGACCAAGAAAGUGCCUCAUUAAUGCUUCCAACGGAUAGAAAGUAGCUGAACAGUCAACUAGCCGUUGGUAGUGUCGGACGUUCGAUAGCCCUGUUUUAUGCGUCCGACAGCAGGCAGUGAGUUUCAGAGAUUUUUUUCAAUUCUUUCGGACGUCCGGUGCAAGCUCUUUGUGCGUCCGACAGCAAACAAACAGAUUUGAGAAAUUAUCUUGUUUCUAUCGGACGUCCGGUAGAGACAUAUUCAGCGUUCGAUAGUUUCGUCGACUUCGAAGGAUCCUAUCGGACGUCCGAAGCAUGCGUCCGAAGUUGUGCAAUGAUUAUCGGACGUCCGAUCCUGACUUCUUGAGCGUCCGACAGCUUCAGCAUAUUUUGUCAUCUUUCAAUUGUACUUGAUCUUUGGAACUAAUUUGUUUCAUAACUGAAUAGAUCUUUUAAGAGACAUUAGUAACAUCCAUUUGUUUUGUAAACAUCAAAAGAUAGGGAUCAAGAUCAACACACUGCAUAGUCGCUGGUAUCACACAUGAUCUGGAAUGGGAGGUUCCAAUCAGGGGGUUGGAUAAUAGGUGAGAAAGUCAAUAACUCCUUUAGUUUAUCGAAUGCCCCCUUACAUGUUUCAUCGAAUUCGAAGGAUACAUCUUUUUGCAAAAGUUGGAACAAGGGUGCUCCAAUUUUUGAGAAAUCUUUGAUGAACCUUCUAUAGAAACCUGCGUGACCCAAGAAGGAAAGAACUUCCCGCACACUCGCAGGGUAAGGUAAAGUAGAUAUAACAUCUAUUUUUGCCUUAUCAACCCCAAUACCUGUAGAUGAUACUACAUGACCCAAAACUAUCACGUGUUCAACCAUAAAGUGACAUUUUUUUCAAUUAAGCACGAGAUUAGCUUCUAUACACCUUACUAAGAUCAAUUUCAGGUUAUCUAGACAGUUUUCAAAGCUUUAACCAUACACACUAAAAUCGUCCAUGAAAACCUCAAUAAUCUUCUCAACAUACUCUGAAAAGAUACUUACCAUGCAUCUUUGGAAGGUAGCAGGUGCAUUGCACAAUCCAAAUGGCAUCCUUCGGUAUGCAAAUGUUCCAAAUGGGCAUGUGAAAGUAGUUUUCUCUUGGUCCUCAGGUGCUAUGGCAAUUUGAAAAUAACCUGAAAAUCAAUCCAAGAAACAGUAGUAAGCUCGACAUGCUAAUCGCUCUACCAUUUGGUCAAUGAAAGGGAGGGGAAAUGGUCCUUUUUCGUGACGGCGUUUAGCUUCCGAUAAUCGAUACACUGUCGCCAUCCGGUGGGCUUUCGAAUUGGUACGAGCUCACCCUCUUGGUUUGAUUCCACUGUUACCCCAGCCUUCUUCGGGAUCACCUAUACUGGACUUACCCACGGGCUAUCUGAUAUUGCAAAUAUAAUUCCAACGUCCAGAAGCUUUAAAAUCUCUUUCUUUACGACCUCCAUCAUGAGAGGAUUUAAUCUCCGUUGAGCUUGCUGUACGGGUUUAGCAUUCUCCUCGAGUCGAAUUCGGUGCAUACACACCGCGGGGCUAAUUCCCUUGAUAUCGGCGAUGGUCCAUCCUAUCGCCUGCUUAUGUUCCCUUAGAACUCGAAAUAGUUUAUUUUCUUGAAUCUUUGAUAAACCCGGGGAGAUGAUCACUGGAAGUGUCUCCCCUUCACCCAAGUAUGCAUACUUCAGGUGUUUUGGCAGCGGUUUCAGUUCCAAGACAGGUGCCUGUACCACAGAUGGAAGUAACCUUUUGUGAGGUUCAGGUAUAAAAAUGGGUGCGAGGUCAUACCUUGUCUUCGUGGUUGGUAACGUUCGCAACGAUCCAAUCACACAUUUGAGCUCUUCACUCAACUCUACCCCAGAGGUCGUUUCGGACUCGAAGUGCCUAGUUAAGGCGACCUCUAGCUCAUCCCUACCUUCAAUUUCAAAAACCUCCUGUAUAGUAGGGUCAAUAACAUUUAUCGAGAAAACAGAGCUAACAUUUGAAUCGGAUAGAUAUUUCAUGGUCUCAAAGAUGUUAAAGUGAACAAUCUCACCAUCAAAUUCCAUAGAUAAAGUACCCUUAUUAACAUCAAUUUUGGUUCGGGCUGUGCUCAAAAAGGGUCUACCUAACAAUAAAGGUGACGGAUCACGGGAGUUUUCAUCCUCCAUGUCGAGCACAUAAAAAUCAGAUGGAAAAAAAAAUUCAUUAAUUUUUACCAAAACAUCUUCAAUCAACCCGUCAGGGUAUGCAUUGGUCCUGUCAGCUAGUUGGAUUAUUAUUCCAGUCUCUUUCAAAGGGCCUAAGUUCAAGGAAGCAUAAAUAGAUUUCGACAUGACAUUAAUCGAUACUCCUAGAUCUAACAUGGUCUUUCCAAUCAAAAUAUUACCUAUCCUACAAGGAAUAGUAAACAUACCUGGGUCCCCGCAUUUCGGUGGAAGCUUCCUUUGUAGAAUUGCUGAAACAUUCUCCCCAACUAUAACUCAUUCAUCCCCCUUCAACCGCUUGCGGUUGGCACACAGGUCCCUCAAAAAUUUUGCGUACCUGGGUACUUGUUUAAUCGCAUCCAGUAGGGGUAUGUUGAUCUCCACCUUGUGAAAGAUCUCCAAGACCUCUUUUUCCUUGUCUUGCUUCUUUGGUUUCUCUAACCUGCUAGGAAAGAGAGGUGGAUUAGUUUUAAUUGUAGGAAUUGGGUUCGAGGGUACCUUUGCAUUUUUGUUGUCUCUGCCCUCCUCUUCUAAUUCUUUCUCGAUUCGUUCCUCGUCCUUGUCUUUAGGAAUCACGGGUUCGGGUCCUUGAACUUCCUUGCCACUCCUCAAGGUCAUUGCACUUACAUUCUUUGGAUUUACCUCAUAUUGAGAUGGCAACUUUCCUUGAACUUGGGACUCCAAACGGUUAAUUGUUAUAACCAUUUGAUUCAUUUGAUUUUGCAAUGACUGCACCUGUCCCAGUUGAUUUCUCAUGCUUUGCAGGUCUGAAUCCGUCUUUUGUUGAUUAGCAAGUAAUUGCUUCAUCAUCUCUUCCAUGGACGGACUUGAGUUUGAAGAGGGUGGUGGUGGGCGAGGAUGGUACUGCUGUGGGUUCCCUUGCUGUCUAUUUGGCACAAAAUUAGACUGCCUAUUCCCUCCAUAGCUAAGGUUGGGGUGAUCCCUCCAACCAGGAUUGUAGGUACUUGAGUAUGGGUCGUACUGCUUUCUUGGAGCAGACGCGUGGCCAGCCAUGUUCACCUGUUCUGCAAUUUCUUCUUGAACCAGUGGACACAUUUCCGUAGGAUGACCCACGGCAGUGCAUACCCCACACACUUUGGCUUGUGAUGCCCCCACAGCUAGUUGUCGCACAAAAGAUGUCAAUUCGGAGAGUUGCUGUUGAAUAGAGGAUGUUUCUACCUCAUUCACCAUACGCGUAGGAAUGUCCUCUCUUGAACCAAAUUGCUGUGAGUUCUCAGCCAUCCCUUCAAUUAACUCCCAUGCUCCUUGAGGAGUUUUGUUCACCAACGCCCCUUCACUUGCAGCAUCGAUUAUGCUUCUGUCUCUGAAAAGUAGUCCUUCAUAGAAAUAUUGGAUAAGCAGGUGUUCACUUAUCUGAUGCUGAGGGCAUUUGGUGUACAGUUUCUUAAACCUCUCCCAGUACUCAUGGAGAGAUUCGCUUGGGUGUUGUUUGAUGCCACAUAUCUCCUUCCUUAGGCUUGCAGCUCGAGAUACCGGAAAGUAUUUGUCCAAGAAUUUUUUUUUCAGUUGGUCCCACGUGGUGAUACUACCAGGUGGUAGGCAGUAGAGCCAGUCUUUUGCGGAGUCCUUCAAAGAGAAGGGGAAGGCCCUCAUCUUUAUUUACUCUUCUGUAAUUCCCGGAGGCUUCAUACUGUUGCAAACGACGUCGAACUCUUGCAAGUGCUAGGGCUCCUCACCUGGUAAUCCAUGGAAAGAUGGCAAGAGAUGAAUUAGACCAGAUUUUAGUUCAAAGGGAGUGUCAUAAUUUAAAUGUGGAAAAGUAAUGCACAAGGGCUGCUGAUUUAAAUCAGGAGCAGCCAACUCCCUUAGUGUUCGUGCAUUUGCCAUAGUGGCUUCCUCUUGAUCUGAAUCACUUGAAUUGUCACCAGACAAAUUUGUCGGCUCAACCUCUGGAUCAAGUUCCUGAGGUGCAAUACCGUAUUGCUCUUCUCUGAGCUGUCUGGUUUCUUUCCUCGUUCUACGCGCGGUCUUCUCUACUUCAGGGUCGAAAAUUAAUUCGCCUGUAAGAAAAAAGCGAGGCAUAAACUAGAAAAAUACCAGAAAAAAAUGAACUUAAAAAGAAACAAAUGAUUAACGACAGUCCCCGGCAACGGCGCCAAAAAUUGACAGGUGUCGAGCCUGUGCAAUAAUAAAUACCUACUCGAGAAAAAUAAAUUUUCUGUGUAUAGUAGUGAGUAGGGUCGAAUCCAUAGGGAUUGGGAAAAAUUCGAUUCUUUUCAAGUUCGGGACACAGGGAUUUUUAUCAGAAAUAAACUAAAAAUAAUUAAACAAUUUAACCAAAAAUAAAUAAUUAAUUAAUACGAAUGUAAAUAGCAAUUAAAUAAAUAAUAAAUAAAUUCUAGCCAAGGAUACAACUACGCAGACACAGUCCAUUCAUCCGAUCAUUGAUGUAAAGAAGGUUCACUUAAUUUUAUUAACAGGUUAGUUAUAGUCGCCGAUAAGCUCUAACGACCAGCUUUUCCUUAAUUUAUUGAUAACCAAGGUACGACCGUUGAUUACCCCUAAUCAGGAAAUACUCCUAGGUACGACCGUAGGAAUUAAUUUCCUAAUUGCAUUAAAAACUAGAAAAGCCUAACCCAAAUUAAUAACACGCUACGAGGGUUAUUUAAAUCAGAUUGCAUGUUCCCCUAGUAUGUGAAAAUACUAGUUGCCACUAAUAUUAAUCAUUUAAACAAUUACGAAUUUAAAUGAUUAAUUUGACAGGAGAUUAGAGAGUCAAAUUGCACAUCGGGCUCUUGAUAUCCAAUUAACAAAAUAAUCCCAUGAAAAUUGAAAUAGAAAACAUGCAAAUAUUAACAAAUUAAGGAACAAGUAAAAACUAAUUAGAUCUCACAGAUAUUUGGGAUUGCGUCUUCACGUUGAUCCUUGACUAGAGGAGAAAAUUAGCCACUCCUCAUAAGAAAAUUCUCACGCAAUUUAAUUGGAAUGAAAUACAUAAAUAACUAACUAAGAAUUUAGAAAGAAACUUGAGUCUCCGUAGACUCUUUGAAGAAAAGUUGCACACCACACAACAAGAGAAGGAAGAACUCCUUCUCUGAAAACCAAAAACUACCUCUAUCCUCCUACGGAGCUUAUUUGGAGAGAAAACUAAAACUAGUCUAAUGUCUUAUGAAGCUCUCGUCUAAUUCUCCUCUGCACUAGUUUCAUAAGAGUAACUCUGCACUAGUUUCAUAAGAGAACUAGUUACGUAGGAAGCAAAUAGAAAAGCUACUUUCAUCAUCAAAGUCCACCUAUGGCUAAUGAGUACAUCUCCCAAAAGAAGAACACAUUUUCUAAAUCAAUGUUACGUGGUCCCCGCAGAAUUCUCUCCUUUUUUAUUUCUUAUUGCUAGUGGACUUGCCAGGACUUAAUAAUAGGAAGGCAACUCUUCAUCAGCAAUUCCGUUGGUUUGCACAAUUUGGGCUGAUUGUGGAAAGCUUUUAGAAGCUUUCACGUGUGGAGAAAUCUUCUCAAGAAGGUCCCCUUUUAGCACUUUUCUGCUCCACUUUCUGAAAUUAUAUCCAAAUACCAAAUAUAAAUAUAUAUUGACAAUUAAAGCAAUAUUUGGCAAGGAUAAAGAGGAGAAUUAACAAUAAAAUUACUAACAAUUAACACCCUAUCAGUCAAUUAAAGGCAGAAGCAAUUUAAUUUUCUGGCCUUGCAUAGUGGGCACACUAGCAGAACCAAUGCUCAAUGUGGAUGACCAGAAGGUGUUCCUUCUUGGGACGAAAAGUAAAUCAGACAAUACGGCCAAUUAUGACGUAUCGAUGUCAUGUCAUUAUGGAGUCAUCAAUGUACACAUCAGCACUCAUAAACUCAAUACCAAUUCGCAGACUUCUAAUAUAUCUAUUCCUACGUUUCUUUGAUGGCUUGUUUUGGAUUUUUGCUUCAAGUUGAUGGAAUAACUUAAUGUGGUGGGGGAGGGAUGGGUUGAGUGGUUCAGGAGAGAUAGGAUUGUGAAUGAAAUUGGAAUAAGUUGAGCUUGGCCUACUAGGCUCGAGAAAAAGUCCAAUGAACCUAAUCUUUCGUUAAGAUAGAUGUGUUUGGAUCUAAAUAUUAAGCUCGAAUUAAAUAUGAGCCUAACUUGGGCCUUAUUAAGUUCAAAUCUGAUAUUGACCCGAUAAAAUUAUAACUUGAUAUAAAUAUAUAAUAAUAAUACUUUAUACAUUAUGUGUCAAAAUAUAUUAAUAUAUAUAAGAAAUAUUAACUAUACAAAAUUACGUCUACAGAUUCAGAAAGACAAAUCUUAGUAUGAGUAAAUUGAGGACCUUUGAAGAUGUAUUUACUGUUGUUCACGUUUUAUUACUAUUUUUCAUGUAUUUGAAUUAAUUGGAUAUUUUAUUAUUAUUGAAAAAUUCUUGAUUAUAUACUUUUUAAUGAGUUGUUAUAUGUUACUGGUUUGUAUAUAGUUUUAAUGCUAUGGUCCUGUGGAUAUUAAAUUAGUUUUAGAACUUAAUAGUUAUAAUACUUAUAUUGAGAAAAUUAAGGAGCAGUAAGUAAGUUUAAACUAAACCCAAAUUAAACUCAUAGCCAAAAUUUUGUGAGUCAAUUAUAAGUUUCACAUUUAUUAAUCCGAAACUUAUAACCCAAAAUCUGAGAGUGGUACUAACUAUACGAAAUGAGUUUGGGUUUGUUAAAACCCGACUCAAAUAGCCCCAUUGACAGGCUAAGAGAUAGGAAGUCUGUGUGAGAAGUUCUAAGUGCAAACUCUCUCACUUACACUUAAAUUAAUGUGGUCACAUGCAUGAUGAACAUUCAGCUCUUAGGAGCACGUUCAUAUCUUCGGGCAGACUUUGGAUUUGUUGAAUUAUUUGUUCUAUGUUGACGACAAAUCUUUCUGCUGUCUGGGUAGUACGUAGAGGUGUCAAAAUGGGUGACUUGGGCGGGUUUGGGUUGGAUAAAAUGGGUAAUGGGUAUAAGUGAGUCAACCCAUUUAUACCCAUUUAAUUAAAUGGGUAUAAAUGGGUAAGUCAAAAAAUGAAUUGGGUAACCCAAUUAUCCAUUUAUAACCCAUUUAUUUUAACUUUUGGUAAACUCAUUUAAAUUCAUUUUUACAAACUAAGUUAUCAAUUUAUACCGCUCUUUGUACCCAUCAUUAGUUUUAAAUAUUUACUUAUAAUGUUCAAUAAGUCUAAUUAUCAAUUUUUUUUUCAUUUAUACUCUAUGUCACAAAAUUACCUAUUAUUUAAUAAUUGAAUAAUAAGAAUAUAAAAAUUUGAACUAAGUACUAUAAAAUUAAUGUAAAAACUUAAUCCAAAAAUUUUGAACCUCUAACAUUUUUUUCAUAUAUAAAUUUAAAAUUUCAUUUUAGAAAGAUAAGAAAAUAGGCUAAACUUUAUCAUAAAUUGGUAAUACUGAAAAAUGAGCAAGUUAACAAACUAAGAGAAAAUAAAAUAAUAAGAUAAAACCAAUAAAUAAUAAUAAUAAUGAAACAAAAGUAGUUAACAUCAUGACAAAAUAAAAAAUUUGAAAAAAAAAAGGGGUGGGAGAAAAGAAGAGACUUGGGGGGAAGAGAAUUCUAAUUGGGUUAAUUGAAUUUGAUGGAUUACCCAAUAAUACCCAUUUAAUAAAUGGGUAUUAUUGGGUAACCCAUUUAUACCUAUAUAUAAAAAUUUAAGAUACUCAUAUCCAUCUAUUCAUGGACGGAUAUGGAUAAAUUUAGUUAAGUUGGUUAAUUUGCCACCUCUAGUAGUACGUACAGGAAUGGUUCAAGUGAGUGUGUUGCACGUGUGACAGAGGUAAUUAGCGGAUAACGUUUGCCAAAUUUGACCUAUGUGUCCUUUUUCUUGUCGUUGUUCCUAUUGACACAACCCAACUUGUAGAUGUAGAGUCUCAAGCCAGACGAAGAUAGCCUGUGAGCCCGCCCGCCAUGGAACAUAAGAUUUACAAUUUACGUUCCGAUCGAUGUCAGUUAUUAACGGAGAAUUACGUAUAUUUUAGGACAAAUUAUAUUUUACCCCCUGUGAUUUAAUAUUUUUUACAUAAUCCCCUUAUGAUUUCAAAAACUAUACAUAACCCCCUCAUGGUUUGGAUUAAAGUGUCAAAGUGACGGAAAUUAUCAUUGGUCACGGAACUUCUAAAAAUGUCGAAAUUACUCUUAUAAAUACAUGACACACUAAUCCCGUAUGAUUUUUAUAUUUUACCAUAUGACUCCCUUAUGAUUUAAUACUUUACCAUAUAACCCCUUUAUGAUUUUCAAAAUAUACACAUAACCCCCCUUGGUUAAUAAAUAAUUUUCAACUUUACAUAAGGGUAUUUUUGACAUUUUAGGUGACUCCGUUACGAAUGAUCAUUCCCGUUACAUUGACACUUUAAUCCAAACCAUAAGAAGGUUAUGUAUAGCUUUUGAAACUAUAGAGGAGUUAUGUAAAAAAACUCCAAACCACAAAGGGGUAAAGUGGAAUUUGUCCUAUAUUUUAUUGGCAUCUAGAAUUUAUUUGGUAAUAGGCAGACGUUCAUCUUUCCUGCAUCAAGAAAUUUUUUUUUUUUUGUAAGAGAAAAUUCUUACAUUAGCGCACAAGACGUAAAUGUUUGGUUGGAAUAGUCAAUAAUGAUUGCUUACAAAUACUGUUGGAUUUUGUAAAAUUACACGAUAACAGGAGUGAUAUUACUGCAUCAGCAUCACUAGGAUGAUUAUGAACCACACUAUACCAUACAAUACAUGCAUGGCAGAAUACCAAUUUACCUAUUUGAUAGUUCAAUUUUCAUCAAUUACCGUCCUAGGUACGAUACUAAUUCAAUCCAAUUAGAAAAAUUCUUACAUUUGCAAAAUCGACUAGUGACCCAGCCGCCUGGAGGGUCCCAGUCCAGUGUCCACAAAGCUACUCAAGCGAUCCAUUUGCUUCCCCUACAAAAGAGAGAACCUCCAUGUACCCUCCCCACAAUGUACCUACCCUCUCGUCUGAAUUGAAUUCUCUUCCAUUCUUCUGCGUUUGCCGAUCAGGAGAACUUGAGGAACAGAAUAAACAAGAACAGCAUACUCCUAUUCCUCAAAAGUUAAUAAUAAUGUCAAUCCUACGAUUUCAAUCGGAUCAUGCUGGAGCAGCAUGGAGAUCAUGCAUAGCUUCAGCCUUCCGAACAGCCUUAGCUUGCACAAUUAUUGGUUGCAUCACCCUCUUUGACCCGCCUUCAUUUAAGCAUCAAAUAGCAUUUCCCGGUUUCUCCUACGUGACAGCAAUUCUUCUUGUCACAGAUGCCACAGUGGAGGACACCUUCCGUGGCUGUUGGCAUGCCUUGUACGCUUCCGUCUUUGGUGUCUGUCCUGCCAUCCUUAGCUUAUGGUUAAUGGGGCCAGCCCAGCUAACCAUUUGCACCACCCCCGUUGCGGUGGCGCUUAGCGCAUUUGUGGUGGUGCUGCCUGAAAACAGCCACCUGAUAUCAAAGCGUAUAGCACUCGGCCAGAUUGUUGUUGUCUACGUAUUAGCUUUCAUCAAUGGUCCCAAAACUGACCCUAUUUUGCACCCCAUCCACGUCUUAGCCAGUACGGCUAUUGGAGCCGUGGCUUGUGUUUUGGCCUCGUUGCUUCCUUACCCAAGCUUGGCAUGUUACGAGGUAAUUUCCUGAAAUUCUGUAAACAUUAUUACCCGAAUGUACUCUCUUUAUUUUUUGGGAAGCAUAUCCGAACGUAUUCUUAUGGUAGCGUCUCAUAUCGUUGCAUUGUACUGUAUAGUUUAGUGGAAAUUCUCGAAUAGACAAGAAUACUUGUAGGCCAUGAGAAGGUCAGUUAUAGAUCGAGUUCAUGGGUAUGCCAAGACACAAAUAUACAGACUCUCACAUGUGAAUGAAGGACUCACGUAUCUGUCGCUUGAUGCAUUCAUACAUCGGGUCCAUAAUAAAAAAGACCUAAUAAUACAAGAUGCUGUAAGAAAUAAAUAGGUAAUGCAUAAUGACGUAAGAAAAUACACGUAUUCAAGCUGUCAAAGUAUAUAUCACAUGAUUUAUAAGUGAGUUUGUAAAUACGGUCCACCGAAUAUUCUAUUAGUUUAGGUGACGGAGGAUAUACCAUUCUUGUCUCAUGUGACGUCAAAAAUAUAUUGAACCGUACUUCAAGCACGUGCUCAAUAACGAGAAUUAUUCCUUUUUUAUUUAUUUAUUUAUUUUUGGGAAGACAGGUAAAGAAGAAAUUCAAGCUUUACACUAAGAAUGCUUCGGAGAGGGUAGGGGUCCUUAUGAAGGCGUUCUCUGCACAAGACGAAACAUCAGCACAAGCACUGAUUUUGCAAUCCAAGUCCUUGGCUCGCACGGGAACCAAAUUGCUUAGGAGCAUCAAAUCCAAGCAGGUAAGCUCACUUGAAAAGCUGUAUCCUUACCCUAAUGGGGCUACAACUUCUAUUAUAGGCAUUGGACCAUAGGCACUAACUAUUUACGAUGAUUUUUUUCUUUCCCUCGUGAAACAGGAAAGUAUGCUAUGGGGAAGGGUUCCAGUCAAAUUUUUGAAACCUUACUGCACGAAUCCAGGACAGAUAUUGCAAGAAAUUGAGACACCUAUAAGAGGGAUGGAAAUUGCUUUGUCCAAUGGUACCGUACCAUUUCCAGAGCGCAAAGAUGAUCUAGCAGGAAUUGAGGAGCUUAUUUCGCGUCAUAUUAAAAGCAUGCCCCUUACUGUCCCCGAAGCAAAUGCAGAAAACGUUGCUGAGUCCCUCCAAACUCUUCGAACCGUCCCAACAGACCAUAGACAAUUACCCUCUAUUUUCUUCCUUUUUUGCUUGAAGCUGCUACAAGCAAAACUAGCUACCACCUCAGCAAUCAGUUCUAUCAAAGAAAGAUCAACUGAUCCAGGAAAACAGGAGAAAUGGUUCUUCAUAAGGAUAUGGAGAAGCUUAUCCAUCAACAUCAACAAAAGCAGGCUUAUGCCAGCUUUCAAAUGCUCACUUUCAUUAGGCCUAGCUGUGUUCUUUGGAUCAUUAUACAGCAAGGAAAACGGAUUUUGGGCGGGAUUGCCAGUUGCCAUAAGCCUUGCAUCAGCCAGAGAACCAGCAUUUAAAGUUGCAAAUGUUAAGGCUCAGGGGACAGUAUUAGGAAUGGUUUAUGGCGUAUUCGGUUGCUUUAUUUUUGGAAAAUAUGUUCCAAUACAGCUUCUAUCCCUUCUUCCAUGGUUCAUUUUCUGCAGCUUUUUACGGCGCAGCCAUAUGUAUGGCCAGGCGGGAGGAAUUUCAGCAGUUAUAGGGGCAGUACUAUUAUUAGGAAGGAAAGAUUUUGGUCCCCCAAGUGAAUUUGCAAUAGCAAGAAUCACAGAAACUUUCAUUGGAAUAUCUUGUUCAAUCGUGGUAGAACUUGUUUUACAGCCCACAAGAGCUUUUGCUCUAGCGAAAGUUCAGCUCUCCAAGAAUUUUGAAGUGAUGCGAAAUUCUAUUGGUGCGAUUAGUCUCACUGCCAGCGAGGCCAACUUGGAGGAAAGCCUGAAAAAGCUUAAACUCCAAGUGAAUGAACUAGGAAAAUUCAUUGGUGAAGCUGAGGUGGAACCCAAUUUUUGGUUUUUGCCUUUUUACAGUGCUUGUUACAGUAAGCUCUCCGUGUCCUUGUCAGAGAUGGUGGAGUUCCUACAUUUCAUCACUCAUGCAAUUCAAUUUCUCCAUCAAGAAUCAGGAAGAAUGGACACCAAUUUGUGGAAGGAAAGUAUGAGCAAGAUAAAUGCUGAUCUCAAGAUUUUCAAGGAAAUAGUUGACUCUUCAAUAAAGUGUUUUGAGGAGGUCAGUCUGGUAAAAUCACUCGUGUUAUUGGACAAAGAGAUGGAAAGGGAAAACAUUUCCCUUGAUCUUGAAUCGGGUAAAUCACCAAAAAUCCCUUCUAUGAUGAAAUUACCAGGUUCAGAAGAAGAAGUGACCAUUGAGAAAACUCUAACCUAUUAUCUUCAGCAUUGCAACGAAUUUCUUGAGGCUAUUCACGCUGAUAAAGGUGAGAAGGAGCUCAAGAGCCGCAUUGCAUUGAUUUUGAGCUGUAUUGGUUUCUGCAUGAGCGGCCUUGUAAGGGAGACCAGAGAGAUUGAGAAGGCUAUUAAAGAACUUGUGCAGUGGGAGAACCCGUCAAGCCUUGUGAAUUUGCAUGACAUUUCUAGCAAGAUACAUGCUUUAGCAGCAGCAGUAGAUACCAUGCCAACGCAAGUUGGAUCAGUUGGCAAUAACGGGUCACUUUCUCACAAAAGGUUAUAUGUUCGAAUUCCGCUAUCGAUGUAAGAGUUGUGCUGGUAGAUGAUCUGUAAGUAUCUCUGUAAAUGAACUAUGGUUCAGGAGGCCUGCCUUGACCCGUGGUAGUGGUAGUGAUCGGAGUCAAACCUAUCAAAACUUUUUCUUACCAAAAAAAAGUAGAUACCGACCUGUAGAAGAACUGUAGCUAAACCAUAGCAAAGAUUUGAUUCCAAGGAAAUGAUGAUUUUUGCAUGUGUAACUGAUCAUUCCUGAAAUCCCCUCUUGUGAAUUUUGCUUCUGUUGAUCACGAUUAAGAUUUAAAUCAGUAGCAUGACCUGAAAAGUAACUUGGCAAGCUAAUGAACAAAUUUUCACAAGUUUCUUACACAAGAAGUGAUAAUCACCUGUUGUCGUAUCAUUGGUCUUUCCCCUCGUCCUUGUAGUAUAAGAAAUUGUUUUCUAUAUAAAAGAUAUGUUAAAAAAUAGGAAUUUCUAUAUAAAAGUCACAAUAAAGAUUAGGGUGUGAAUAUUUUUCUUUAGAAAAGAUAUUACUAUAAAAAGUUUUGAUUUGAUGUUUAAAAGCUAAGGACAUAAGUGUCUAACACAUGUAUAAAGUGUGAAUUUAGCAUGAAAGGGUUGUGGAUUUAAGUUCUUCCUAAAAUGAAUUGAGUUAAUUGAAAGGAUAAUAGUCUAGCCUUUUUAACAUUGUAAAUUAUCUAACACUCAUGAUAUAUUUAGAGGAAAAAUCCAAUACUAAACGACAAUGAUUUAAUCAACAGAAACAAAAUAAUAGAUAACUCAUCUAUUUGAUUUUAAAAAUUUCCGUGUUUGUAUCUAUUAUUUAAGAAUGUCAUAAUUUAGAAUCGUUUUUUUGUAGGUGGACUCUAUUUAGAGAGAGUUGGUACUUUUGUUAUUUCAUUUUAUAUAAUUUUGUUGUUCCUUCCGUGCCCUGAGCAUGACUUGAACAAGGCACUGGAUCUUGUUGAAAUAAAUUACACUCUGACAAAUACUUUGAGAUGACAUUGUCCGUUUUGCUUUGUUUUGGUCUUUUCGUCUCCCUUUCUACUUCAGUUAAGAAUCUCAUGUGUUUGAGAGAAGCAGCAAUGAAAUUUCUCUUCCAACAGUUUUUGAGCAUACGGAGAUUAUUCAAUUUUCAGACCCUCAACGCCUAAAAAACGUUAAAACUCUCGAGACUAGAGACACUGUUUUAGACUUUUCUCAAAGUUUUUCUAACUUCUCAUUUAGGCCGUCAAUAUUAACCAAUCUGAAUACUCUCACUAAUUUCUACAUUGGUGGACCACAAUUCAUUAUUCUCUCAUGCCCAUGACAGUGAGUCUGCUAAAUGACUUGUCCACUUCAUUCAACCACUUGGUAGGAAGGACCAAACAGUUGCUGUUGACUUACUUUUCAAGUCUAUAAUUUUAAGCUUGAAUUUUAGUACCCUGCAUGUCUACUCUGGAAGGACCAGAAGACUUUAGUCUCCUCGUAUAAAUACUAGGGAGAUGGACAAAGAUAGAAAAGGUUUCAAAUCAUAAAUUACAGUAAUCACUUUUCUUGACGCUAUAUUUGUCACUAUUAAUGUCCACUUCACUUUUCUUGAUGGGUAAAUACCUUUUAGUAUAAGACAAAGUUUAUUUGUCUAUAAUAUACACUAAUAUGACAAACCGGUUAGAAUAAUAGAGCGUAAUUUUAGAAUAUUUUAAAAUAUGAAGAAUGAUUUUCUGCAAUAAAUCAAUCCUUUAUGUGAUCUUGCACAGUUAGAACUAUUAUGAUUCAAGAAUUAACAUUUCUUCAAAGUUUUGUUUCAUGUGAAUAGGUGUUUACAUAAGAAGUGUAAGUGAUCAGAAACAUUGUGAAGUUGAGGCAUCAUUUGGUGGCAAAAUAGCCACUCGAAUCAUAAAAAGGUGCCGAAACAAUUUUAAGCGAGGGCAAUUUUCCUACAAUUGAUUCCCACAUUCUAUCCCUUGGUGUUGUUCUCAUCACAAGUAAGAUUUCAUAUGGCAGCAAAAUGAACAUUCAGAGGAGGGCAUAACCUUGUAAUGAUGUAGUACAAUUUAUUAUAUACUAAUGUACAAUACGGGAGCAUAAGACCCAAACAUAAUACGAAAGCAUAAUGAUGUGAAAACAUAAUGGAUUGAGCGAAUUGGCUGCCUUUCAAAACAUCCAAUUCCUAUAUAUAUGGGGAAAAAAAAAAGAAGAAGAGGACUAUAGAUAUAUGUUCCAGUCAUCCAUUUAUUUUUCCAAAUAAAAAGCCAAAGGUGUCUUCGUUAUCAACUCAUCAGACUGGCAACUUCAGCUCGGAGAUUCAGACCAACAAACAAACAGCUGCAAAUCAAGAUUUUAUGCAUUAGUACCUGCAAGAAGACAUCCUUUUUCCACUCUACUGAGCACAAAACAUAACUUUUGUUUUCUUUUCUUUUUGCUUUUGGCUAAAAUAGAUUCUGAAUAAAAGAAUGAGUUAGCUUGUAAGACUACAUCAAGAAUGAAAUUGCUUAUCUAAAAUAUAGAAGAAAUGAACUUCCAACUUUGUGAACCGUAUUAAAUUCUUGUAUGUACCUGUGGCUAUUAAGCUUCAAGAUUUUUUUGAUAUGCCCUGACACCAAGAAAAACAUCCUUAAUAUGAUGCAAUUUUCCGACUACUUCAUUCAUGUGCAUCCGAUCAUUUGGCGAUUUCUCUGAGCAUUUGAGCCCGAUUUUCAACAGGGAAAUAACAGAAUCCAUCUCCCUUCCACCAUCAGUUUCAUCCCUUCCAGGAGUCAUUCUUUUGUUUUCAUCACCUGCUUUAGACAGAAGCAAAGGGUCCACGAUCUCAUAAGCGUGUCCAGGCAAGGCUCUAUUAACAAAAUUAUGUAGAUCAAGCUCAUCCAUGAACAUAUCAUCUGUUGGUCUUUUCCUUGUGAUCAUCUCUAGCAAAAGAAUUCCAUAGCUGUAGACAUCCCCCAGAGUUGAUGCCGCAACACCCAUUCCAUACUCUGUAUUUUUGUUUUUAGAUAUAUUAUUGUUACGUUAUACAAGAAAACCUAAAGAUAAUAGGGAAAAUUAUGUAAGGGACUGAAACUGAAUCAAUUGUUAGAUUGGGGUAAAUUAAACAUAGCUACUAAGUACUAGUUCGUAAAUGAGACGUAACUGAAAUUGUUAAAAGUGAAUCACUACGAACCUGGGUCAAUUGCUUAUUGUCCCCCAAAAUCGUUUUAUCAAUAAGUUACUUCUUAAAACUAACUGUCAAUAUACAGAGUAUAUCAUCCAAGAACCUGACAAAAAGUCAUUUACAAUUUUUUUAAACUAAGGACAUGAAUUUAUUUGCUAUUUCUCAUCUUUUUUUAUUUUUCAUUUUUGCUUGCUUUUUUAUUUUCUUCUCCAUAGUGGACAUGCCACUAUUUUCUUGCCACUUGUUUCAAUAAUAUGUAUAUUUUUCUUGUUUGGAUAAAUUUUGUAUUCACUGACAACGUAUACACAAGUGGAUUUAAAUGCAUGCCACGUAUGUAAAACAUAACAUUCAAUUUUCAAAUGGUAAUUAGCUGCCAUACAUCCAACAUCGCUUGUGUCAAUGUAUACAAACUUUAUCCUUCUUAUUUUACCCUAUUGUUAGUUCAUAUUAGUUUCAAUUUGAAUUUUGAAUUAUUGAAUUAUUAAUGUGGUUUGUUAGUUCAAAAUGUACUUUAACAUUAAAGCUCUAUGUAUAUUUUCUGUGUUAUCCCAUAGAAAAAUGAGAUCAACAGAUCAUAGAACUUGGGAGAAAGAGUUUAAAAUUUUUCUCCUUUUAAAUCGCUGAAAAAGAAUCUUAAGGAACGAAAUAGCAUUAUCCAAAAAAAAAAAUGCAACAGUACAACUAUCUCCAUGUGAAUAUAUUUGUUAUCCUAAGUGCUUGGGCCGGGUUGGGGCGCCGGGUCCAGGCCGUAGGGGAUUAGUCGGACCCCGUAAAGAUUGAUCCGGACACCCCUGUGUCGAAAAUAUAUAUAUAUAUAUAUAUAUAUAUACUCUGCGAGUUUGAUUAUUCAUGGAAUUAUCAAAUGAUAUGAUAAAUCAAGGGUUGAAAAUGAUAAAUGACAAACAAAUAAUAUAUAUGUAUACACAUAUAUAUACAUAUAAAAACAAUCAAAGAAUGAGAUAAAAGUGAUUUUAAAAAGUUAUUCUAAAUAUGCUAAACGAGAUGAGAAGAGAGAAAGUGUGACAUGACAAAAUUGAGAAGGAAAAAAAAUAAAAUAAAGAGAAUCAGCUAUUAUAUCUGCCAAAGUUCUUUACUCCGCUUCACAAUGAAAUAAAGAAUGUGUUAAAGAGCCAAAUAAUGGUACUCUAUUUUUUAGGGCAAAUUACACUUUAUUCCCCUGUGAUUUAGUAUUUUUUGUACAUAAUCCCCCUAUAAUUUUAAAAACUAUACAUAACCGUCUCAUGAUUUGAAUUAAAGUGUCAAAGUAAUAGAAUUUGCAAUCCAUAACGGAAUCACCUAAAAUGUCAAAAAUACCCCUAUGUAAAGUUGAAAAUUAUUUAUUAAUCACAGAGGGGUUAUGUGUAUAUUUUGAAAACCAUAAGGGGGUUAUAGGGUUAAGCAUUAAACCAUAAGAGGGUUAUAUGAUAAAACAUAAAAUCAUACGGACUAGUGCGUUAAGUAUAUUAUGUUUAUAUGUUUUAAUCAUUUCAGCCAUUUUAAUUUUUAAACAAGGAUAAUUUCAAUUUUUUUAAAGGUUUCGUUACGAAUUAAAGGUUUCGUUACGAAUGAUCAUUUUUGUUACCUUAACACUUUAAUUCAAAUCAUGCGGGGUUAUGUAUAGCUUUUGAAACCAUGGGGGUUAUGUACAAAAAAUACUAAACCAUAGGGGGGUAAAAUAUAAUUUGCCCUAUUUUUUAUAUCUAAACCUUAAUAGUUUGUGCACAAUUUAAGUGACAUCUUGACUGCAACGGAUCUUCUGUCCCACACUCUGUGUCAUUCUCUGUCUCAUUUUUUAUUAUAUUGCUAUUUCUCCUACAUAAACAUCAUGUUUUAGUUCUUUUUUGUUUUCUUAAAAUUCAAUAACUAUUAAUUGAAUAAAAAAUAAAUACAGCAGUUUCAAAAAAGCAAUAUAUAAUAGAAAAUUAAAAAAUAGAGCAGAAAAUUCAUAAAAAAUCUCAUUUUUUAUGCAUUUUGAUUUUUUGAAUUUGUUAAAUUUUGUGUAUUACUCAAUUAAUAGUUAUUGGAUAUUAAGGAAACAAAAAAAGAACUAAAACGUGAUGUUUAUGUAGGAGAAAUAAUAAUAUAAUAAAAAGUGGCACAGAGUGUGGGACAGAAGAUCCGUUGCGCAUCUUGACCAUAAAAGUUUGUAUUUACCUGGGGCUGCGUAACCGAUUGUUCCUUUCAUAGCAAUAGUACUGCUGGUUCCUUGCUCGGAAGAUAUGUUGAUGGGUUUUGGGAGAAGCCUUGCCAAUCCAAAAUCACCCACAUGUGCAACAAGAUCAUUGUCAAGAAGAAUGUUACUUGGUUUUAGAUCACAAUGAACAAUCUCUGCUUCACAAUGGUUGUGAAGAUACUGCAAUGCUGAAGCCACAUCAAUUGCAAUAUUCAGCUUCUGAGAAAGACCAAGGCUUCUUGAGCUUGUUGCUUGAUCAGCUGUCUCAGGAUGCAGCCACAGGUCAAGAUUUCCAUUUUCCAUAAACUCAUAGACUAGAGCUUUGAAUUCAUCGCCCUUGGAAUCAAUACUGGAGCAAUAACUCAUGAUAGAGACGAGGUUUCUAUGGCGAAUACUUCUCAAUGUUUUGCACUCGGCUUUAAAACUUUUGGAAGCCCCAUUCUUUUGAAGAUCAAGAACUUUGACUGCUACAAGCUUGUUGCCAUGUUUUUCUAGCCUUCCUUUGUAGACAGCUCCAAAAUUUCCUGAACCAAUCAAGUUUUCUGGAGAAAAUCCUGAAGUUGCACGAUGAAGUUCAUGGUAAGAAAUUCGCAAGAGCUUAUCGACUCUUGUGGGCAUGCUAGAGAAUCCGGCUGCCAUUUUUCUUUCUCCUUUUUGACAAACGCAGAAAUAUAACAACACUGUACCAAGAACCAGAAGCGUUGCCGGUAAUAGAAUAGACAGCAAUAUGAUAACCUUCAGCUUUCCUCUGUUUUUCCCUCUGAUAACCGGGCAAGGUGGGAACUCCAAUUCUGGAAUGCCUCCACAGAGUUUGUUGUUGCCAACCAAUGAUAUUUGACUUGCAUUGAUGAAAAUCCCUCUGUUUGGUAUCUCUCCCUCGAUGUCGUUGUAGGAAAGGUUUAAGUACCUCAAAAAUCGAAGCUUCUCAAGUUCUUUUGGUAUUGAUCCAGUCAAGUUAUUACUUGAAAGGUCUAUUUGCUGGAUGCUCUUCAAAGAAGCCAAAUUUGGUGGAAUUGUUCCUUGGAAAAAAUUGGCUUGCAUGGAAAGAUUCUCCAGAUUUGAACAAUCAGCAAGUGACAUGGGUAUAUCUCCGGAAACUUGGUUGUGGGAAACAUUGAAAUCCACCAAGUGUAUAAGCUUUCCAACUUCAGGAGGCAGAGAACCAAUAAACGAAUUUUCACCAAAUUUCAAGUACAUCAGUGAUGAGUGCGUCUGCAAAAAUUGUGGUGAUAUAAUUCCAGUGAAUUUGUUGUGAGAUAUAUCCAGAUAUUGCAAAUUUUGACAGUUCAUAAGAACAUUGUCAAAUAUAUUGCCCCCUUCAAACUGGUUAAAUGAUAAGUCCAGAUAGUAUAGAGCGGUGGCAUUACAUAGAGUAGAGACUAUCUGUCCUGACAACUCAUUUUGGUGCAGACUCAAACCUUGCAUGUUUUGUAAUUUGCCAAAAUCUCUUGGAAUGACCCCAGAAAGAAUGUUUUCUUGAAGGCCAAGUACAAAUAGGUUGAAAAAAUUUCCAAAUCCUUCUGGGAUGGUUCCCGAUAGUUGGUUUCCUCCUAGGUAGAGUGUUGUAAGUUGAUUUGAUAGAUUGCCCGUGACUUUAGGUAUAUUACCUCCAAAUUUAUUGCCCCCCAAGUCAGUAAUUCUGAGAUUACUGCAGUUGGUCAGUGAUGCAAUAAAAUCCAAGUCUCCUGUAGAAUUACUGCCGAAGAGGUUAUCAUUAAGAUAUAAUAUUUGAAGUUGUUUCAGUUCUCCUAAAUUACUUGGAAUUUGGCCUGCAAACUUAUUUUUGGAAAGAUCAAGUACCUCGAGCCCGGAAGCAUUUGUGAUUGAAGUUGGAAAGUUACCAUAGAACUUGUUUUUCCCAACACCUAAUGCAUUCAGAUUUGGCAGGAUGAGGCCUAUGUUGGUUGGAAGAUUGCCAUGAAAGGAAUUGUCGGAUGCUGAAAUGAUCGUAAUAGCUGAAUUAUUGAAGAUAGAGGCAGGGAUUAUACCAGAUAGUUUAUUUCCAGCGACUCCUAAUACAACCAACCUUUUCAAGAGCCCCAUCUCCAUGGGCAAAUUUCCCUCCAGAUUGUUGAAGUCGAGACCGAUUCGGAUCAAUGAUGAUAAGUUCCCAAUGGAAGAGGGAAUCUGUCCCGUCAAAUUGUUUGACAAAAGAUUUAAAUUUUCAAGCUUCUUCAUAUUGCUUAGCUGAUCAAUGGGAAAUUUCCCUUCCAGCUUAUUCCCCCUCAGGCUAAUUGUUAUCAACUCUGAGCAGUAGCUCAGGUUUGCUGGGAUUUUUCCACCGAGUGCGCUUCCUGACAGGUUCAAAACUCUUAGCCUGAAGAGGUGACCAAAAUCUUGGGGAAUCCCACCAUGGAAUUGAUUCCCCCCAAGUUCCAUGAACCUCAUGAAGCUUAGAUUUCCGACAUGAGGAGAUAUGGUUCCAGACAACUGCUUAUGCCUUAGAAUCAAGGCUAUGACCCUGUGAUGUCGAGUACUACAGGUGACUCCUUCCCACUGGCAAUGGUGUUGAGAAUGGUUCCAGGAAUUCAGCACUCCAAACGGAUCAUCAAAUAUCUGAUUCUUGAAUUCAAGCAGAGCCAGACGAUCAGUCUCAUUUUGAAAUUUUUUGGAAGCUGAAACAUGGCUUACUGAAAAGUUCAUGGCAACUGAGAGGAAGAGAAAAAUGUUCGCUAAUGUCGAUGAGCGAAAUCGCAACUUGGUAAUUGGAAAUUCCAUUAGCUUCGAAGGAAAGAUGGAUUAAUUUGCAACAAACUGAUGAUUGAGUGAUAAAAGUUUCUGUGGAAUGGGAACAAUGUUUGAGCUGUUACAGAUUCUUGUAGUUCUGCUUAUAUAAGCCCAAACAGUUGGAACAAAUGGGACAUAAUAUCUUGGCAUAUUUUAGCAUGAAACUCGAAAAAGGAUGGAAUUUAAGAAGCUAUAAAAAAAAAAGGAGUGGGGAAGAGAGAAUUAAACGUAAAAUUUUUAAUUUUUAAAAUCUCAAUUUUAGCCACUAAAUUAAUAAAUAAAUCUGGUUCAAUCUCUUCGGUCCAAGUGACAAUGCGCCACUCUUUAGACCUACUUGUACAAGUAAUUGAAAUACUAAUAGAUGAUGUGUGUGACAUUUAGAUGACUUAACUAAUUUAUGAAAUUCUUGAUUUAAAUCUCACUACUUGCGAGUCUUUUCUUCCACUAAUUCUGAGUUGACUCGUAGUAUUUUAUUUAUAAAUUAUUUGAUUAAUUAUAUUACUUCUACUAUUGUGUUUCUUUUAUAUAUAUAUAACUUUAUAAUAAAAAACAAAAAAAAAACUAAUUGUGCAAUACUAAUUUAAGAUCGUGCGCAUUGUGAAAUAUCAUCAUUAUUAUCCGGACAACGGCACUGGCUGACUGGGAAAACCUUUCCACACUGCGCACGAUUGGUGAGCUAUGAGUUUGACUGGUCCAAGUGUUCCGAGGGACCAAUUCUUAUUGACUCAAAUGCAAUUAGAGGUCAGAACUGUAAAUUGAUCAUGGUGAGAUUUGAAAUCCCUGAUUUCAAUCUUCAUCACUAAACAGAAAUCUCAUUGGAGUUCUUCUUUAUAGAUAUAAGUGAUUUUCUGGGUAGUAAUCUUUUUCAAUUUUACAGGUGAUUAAUUUUUGGGUAAAUUACAUUUUAUCCCCUGUAGUUUGGCGCUUUUUUACAUAACCCCUUAUGGUUUCAAAAGUUAUACAUAAUCCCUCGUGGUUUGGAUUAAAGUGUCAAAGUGACGAAAAUAGUCAUUCGUAACAGAACCUCUAAAAAUGUCGAAAUUACCCUUAUAAAUAUAUAACACACUAACCCCGUAUGAUUUUUGUGUUUUACCAUAUAACUCCCUUAUAGUUUAAUAUUUUACCAUUUAACCCCUUUAGAGUUUUCAAAAUAUACACAUAACCCCCUUGGUUAAUAAAUAAAUUUCAACUUUACAUAAGGGUAUUUUUGAUAUUUUAGGUUUCCGUCACAAAUGAUCAUUUCCGUCACUUUGAUACUUUAAUCCAAACCAUGAAGUGGUUAUGUAUAGCUUUUGAAACCAUAUGAGGGUUAUGUAAAAAAACACUAAAUCAUAGGAGGAUAAAGUGGAAUUUGCCCUUAAUUUAUAGACUUGUCUCUGUUUCCAAUCGGCUGCUUUAGUGAAUUGAGCUUAUUCUGGAGUUACUGUUGUCUCACUAGAUUAUCGGCUGCUAUUGCACCAGAAAAAUAGACAAAAGGAAAAUCCUCAUUUAUCAAAGCUCUGCAAUGAUCAAAACAUUGAUGCAUUUUAUGCAUUUCAAACUGUACUAAUGCAUAUAUAUUAUCCAAGUUUUUAUUGCAAUAGAAAUACUUCAAAAGCUCCACUGCCUGCUGGUAUCUAAUUAACAUCUUUGAAAGGCAUCUCUGAUGAGAUGUAAUUCUCUUGUGACUUGUUUCAUGUCCAUGCGAUCUUUGGAUGAUUUU
RNAcentral lists this long non-coding RNA (40642 nucleotides) under Coffea arabica (coffee). Its description in RNAcentral is "long non-coding RNA (CARA_LNC005747)". The stretch from base 22142 to 22248 matches the Rfam family "Plant small nucleolar RNA R71". The record is from RNAcentral. Lineage: Eukaryota; Viridiplantae; Streptophyta; Magnoliopsida; Gentianales; Rubiaceae.